Molecule: ribosomal RNA, 381 nt
Filed under: uncultured Methanolinea sp.
Lineage: Archaea; Methanobacteriati; Methanobacteriota; Methanomicrobia; Methanomicrobiales; Methanoregulaceae
Description: bacterial SSU rRNA
Rfam family: Archaeal small subunit ribosomal RNA
Source: RNAcentral
CGUGAAGACUCUACUUGACUAGCUGAGAGGAGGUGCAUGGCCGUCGUCAGUUCGUACUGUGAAGCAUCCUGUUAAGUCAGGCAACGAGCGAGACCCACGCCAACAGUUGCCAGCAUGUCCUCCGGGAUGAUGGGGACACUGUUGGGACCGCCUCUGCUAAAGAGGAGGAAGGAAUGGGCAACGGUAGGUCAGCAUGCCCCGAAUUAUCCGGGCUACACGCGGGCUACAAUGGUCAGGACAAUGGGUAUCGACACCGAGAGGUGGAGGCAAUCUCCUAAACCUGUCCUUAGUUCGGAUUGUGGGCUGCAACUCGCCCACAUGAAGCUGGAAUCCGUAGUAAUCGCGUUUCAAAAUAGCGCGGUGAAUAUGUCCCUGCUCCUU